ACUCGGCAGGGUGCAUCUCAGUGCAUAUGACCUGGACGUGUGCACCUAAGGAUCCUUAAAAUAAACACCAAGGUUGAAAGAAGGAAAACAUCA
Long non-coding RNA from Corvus hawaiiensis (hawaiian crow), 93 nucleotides. RefSeq lists it as uncharacterized. The transcript has 3 exons. NCBI's taxonomy places the organism in Eukaryota, Metazoa, Chordata, Aves, Passeriformes, Corvidae. The record is from RefSeq and is a predicted model, not a curated record.